Molecule: long non-coding RNA, 252 nt
Filed under: Monodelphis domestica (gray short-tailed opossum)
Lineage: Eukaryota; Metazoa; Chordata; Mammalia; Didelphimorphia; Didelphidae
Description: lncRNA (ENSMODG00000046210.1)
Source: RNAcentral
UUUCUAACUCCAUUUUUUUUUUUUGCUAACAUUCAUUCAAAUAAUAUUGUUUUUUAGUGCCUUCCAGAAAAAAAGAUGUCAAUCUCAAAUUAGAAACCUGGCCACUAAAUGGUAAAAGAUGGGGAUAUGGAGAAAGAAGAAGCUAGAGAAAGUCUGCUGUUGCCACAGCAGGAACAAGCCGCCCUGGAACACAGCGACCUUUGGCACAAUUUCCCUCUCCUGGUCCCUCCCGAGUGGAAAGCGCUUGGCUAA